This 201-nucleotide long non-coding RNA is filed under the name Elaeis guineensis (African oil palm). RNAcentral describes it as "long non-coding RNA (EGUI_LNC058247)". Lineage: Eukaryota; Viridiplantae; Streptophyta; Magnoliopsida; Arecales; Arecaceae. The record is from RNAcentral.
GCUUCAUGGAGGUUCUAGGGCUAGUUGGGCCCUUGGUUGAAAGGCUGUGGGCCUUUCGGGUUCUUGAGGUCUAGGUUAUGUGGGCCUCAAGGGACCAACUCUUUAUGGGCCAGGUCUGGGCCCAGGAUAGGUGAGAUUAGGUCAAGUCAUGGGUGUACAUGGGCUUGGGUUAACCUAAUCUCCCAUAGAGUUGGUCAAGNN